This 75-nucleotide transfer RNA is filed under the name Massilia sp. CFBP 13647. Its description in RNAcentral is "tRNA-Arg". It matches the Rfam family "tRNA". From Rfam's summary of the family: Transfer RNA (tRNA) molecules are approximately 80 nucleotides in length. Their secondary structure includes four short double-helical elements and three loops (D, anti-codon, and T loops). RNAcentral also lists the same sequence under 4 other names. Lineage: Bacteria; Pseudomonadati; Pseudomonadota; Betaproteobacteria; Burkholderiales; Oxalobacteraceae. The record is from RNAcentral.
GUCGCCAUCGUACAAUGGAUAGUACAAGGUCCUCCUAAGACUUAGAUGUGGGUUCGAUUCCCGCUGGCGAUACCA